AGCUUGAUAUUUUAGUUAAAAUGAUAAAUUGCAAGUUUGUUGACGCUUAUUGGCUCAGGCUU
This 62-nucleotide transfer RNA is filed under the name Charinus carajas. RNAcentral describes it as "tRNA-Cys". Lineage: Eukaryota; Metazoa; Arthropoda; Arachnida; Amblypygi; Charinidae. The record is from RNAcentral.